RNAcentral lists this ribosomal RNA (475 nucleotides) under uncultured bacterium. Its description in RNAcentral is "bacterial SSU rRNA". It matches the Rfam family "Bacterial small subunit ribosomal RNA", at positions 335 to 798 of the family's 1533-position model. The record is from RNAcentral.
ACUCCUACGGGAGGCAGCAGUGGGGAAUAUUGGACAAUGGGGGAAACCCUGAUCCAGCAAUGCCGCGUGUGUGAAGAAGGCCUUCGGUUGUAAGACACUUCUAAUAGGAGGAAAGACUAUGCGUUAAUAGCGUAUAGCGUGACGUUACCUAUAGAAGAAGCACCGGCUAACUCCGUGCCAGCAGCCGCGGUAAUACGGAGGGUGCAAGCGUUAAUCGGAAUUACUGGGCGUAAAGCGCGCGUAGGCGGUUUGCUAAGUCAGAUGUGAAAUCCCCCGGGCUCAACCUGGGGAAUGGCAUUUGAGACUGGUAGGCUAGAAUGUGGUAGAGGUGAGUGGAAUUCCAGGUGUAGCGGUGAAAUGCGUAGAGAUCUGGAGGAACAUCGAGUGGCGAAGGCGACUCACUGGGCCAUUAUUGACGCUGAGGUGCGAAAGCGUGGGUAGCAAACGAGGAUUAGAUACCCCUGGUAGCGACUGA